RNAcentral lists this ribosomal RNA (301 nucleotides) under uncultured bacterium. Its description in RNAcentral is "partial 16S ribosomal RNA". It matches the Rfam family "Bacterial small subunit ribosomal RNA", at positions 509 to 807 of the family's 1533-position model. The record is from RNAcentral.
CAGCCGCCACGGUAAUACGAAGGGUGCAAGCGUUACUCGGAAUUACUGGGCGUAAAGCGUGCGUAGGUGGUGGUUUAAGUCCGUUGUGAAAGCCCUGGGCUCAACCUGGGAAUUGCAGUGGAUACUGGGUCACUAGAGUGUGGUAGAGGAUAGUGGAAUUUCCGGUGUAGCAGUGAAAUGCGUAGAGAUCGGAAGGAACAUCUGUGGCGAAGGCGACUAUCUGGGCCAACACUGACACUGAGGCACGAAAGCGUGGGGGGCAAACAGGAUUAGAUACCCCUGUAGUCCCUGUCUCUUAUAC